Molecule: long non-coding RNA, 682 nt
Filed under: Trifolium pratense (red clover)
Lineage: Eukaryota; Viridiplantae; Streptophyta; Magnoliopsida; Fabales; Fabaceae
Description: long non-coding RNA (TPRA_LNC009668)
Source: RNAcentral
AUGAAAUGUCAAACUGAUUAUAAUGCUAAAUUAUACUAUUACUAACCAUUAACAUUUACUACAAUAAGAUUCAGUGCUUUAGGUUCUAUAAAGGCAAAAUAUACCAAUUCAUAAAAGCAUUCAAAAUCAUUUAGUAGCAAGUUAUUAGCAACCAUAAAAAUCAUUUCGUCUACUGAAUAAAUUGCAUAAAACAAAUCUUAAUUACAAAUGAUUUUACAUGAACAUAUAAAAGAAAACUGAAAAAUAAGUCAAUAAGUAAUACUUACCACCCAUGAAGCAAUUCUAUUGAUGACCAAAUUUUGCAAACAGCUCCACAAGAGACCAAGACUCCAACUGCAAGAGGAGUAUCAAGAGUGCUCUGAUAGAGAAACAAAAAAAAUCAGAAUAAAUAGGGGCAACUUUACAAUACAAUCAAAUAAAUAAAUAAACAAAAGGAUUUGUACCACACUGUGCAAUUUCAUAAGAAAUAUUACCAAGCUAUGCCACUUUCAGAAUAGUUAUGAAUAUAUGUCUUUUUAAAUUAAAUUAAUGCAGACAUUUUUUAAAAAGGAUGACUAUUUCUACAAUUUACAUUGUAAUUUUUUUUCUUUCAAAAUACUUGAUUCAUUACUCUGUUGUGAUCUAUAGUUAAUUCUAUUAUGAUCCAAGUGACCUAGCAAUACAUGACACAUACGACAGAACU